GAAGAUUUCCCGCGUAACCUUUAGAUCACCUGUUGUCUGAGAAGCGUCCGCGGGUCCUUGAUCGAAACGCCGUAUUCGUCGACGACUGCUCGGUGACUGUGAUGCGCUAGACCGUACUAUCGAUCUUGCGGAAGCUGCGGAA
RNAcentral lists this small RNA (142 nucleotides) under Sinorhizobium meliloti 2011. Its description in RNAcentral is "putative ncRNA". The record is from RNAcentral. Lineage: Bacteria; Pseudomonadati; Pseudomonadota; Alphaproteobacteria; Hyphomicrobiales; Rhizobiaceae.